This 2621-nucleotide long non-coding RNA is filed under the name Salmo salar (Atlantic salmon). RNAcentral's name for it is "lncRNA (ENSSSAG00000106800.1, ENSSSAG00000121966.1)". The record is from RNAcentral. Lineage: Eukaryota; Metazoa; Chordata; Actinopteri; Salmoniformes; Salmonidae.
CCCUAAUCUAUGGAUUUCACAUGACUGGGAUUACAGAUAUGCAUCUGUUGGACACAGACGCCUUCUAAAAAAGGUAGGGGUGUGGAUCAGAAAACCAGUCCGUAUCUGGUGUGAGCACCAUUUGCCUCAUGCAGCCCGCCACAUCUUCACAGAGAGUUGAUCAGGCUGUUGAUCCACUCCUCUCCCAUAGGGCGGCCCACAAUUGGCCCAGUGUCGUCCGGGUUAUGGGUUGGCCGGCGUAGGCCGUCAUUGUAAAUAAGAAUUUGUUCUUAGCUGACUUGCCUAGAUAAAUAAACAAUUCAAUGGCUGUGUGAAUUUGCUGGAUAGCCCUGCUGGAAAAUCCAGCUUAGAACCGUAGCGGUGCGUGGUACAAUCACUGGCAUAACUCCCCCUCCCCUCAUGCCGUGCGACCGUGAGAUAUAGGCCUAAAGGCCAGGACAAUAAGAAGACACAGCGACAGAAUGAAUUCAACUAUACAUUUGUUUUAUUUUAUUUAAGUAGGCAAGUUAGUUCAGAACAAAAUCUUAUUUUACAAUGGCGGCUUACCCCCCCGGCCAAACCCUCCCGUAACCUAGAUGACGCUGGGCCAAUUGUGCGCCGCCGUAUGGGACUCCAGAUCACGGCCAGUUGUGAUACAGCCCGGGAUCGAACCAGGGUCUGUAGUGAUGCCUCUAGCACUGAGAUGCAGUGCCUUAGACUGCUGUGCCACUUGGAUAGCAACCUCUGUCCAGUGAAGUCCACAAAGCAUAUUGCAUGUACAGCAACAGAAAAUUACAUGACCUACAGCAUGGUCAAGCAAGUUAAUGUUUACGACAUUUUCGGACUACUAAACAACUAUUGAUUUAGAACCAUAGAGAGUUACCGCAAGUCACAAAGAAAACAGGAGCUUCCUCCACUAUUCCAGCACCAUUUCAACUUCAACAUUUCAUCCUCAUCAAAAUCACCUCGGCUUAGUCUAAUACAGUAACAACUAAAAUAUACCAAAAACAAUUUAGUCCAAUCAACAUCAGCUAAAUAUGAUGUGGGUGUCCAUGUUUCUGAUUUAUGUGUGUGUGUGUGUGCGUUCGCGCAAGUAGAAAAACAUGUUGACUCAUGAAACAGUCUAUCACUCUGUCAUACAGUACACACUUUUAUUAUUUGUUGUCCUAGGCUACCUGGUUAAAAUUAUUGCUGGCUAGCCUAACUUCCAAUCAUGGGCAAUGUUAGCUAGUUAACAUUAGCCUCCUACAUCUAAUUUCCAUCCUCUCGAGCCAGGGGCACAACAAUGUAUGAAUUAAUUGUUGGAUCAGAAUCGCCGUUAUAAUCAUUGGCCAGUAUGGAUCCCUAUCUCCAUCCAUCGUUCAUUUAGGAAAGGGCCAAUUUUAGUUAGCUGGCUAGCUAGCCAUCGGAGGACAACAACACAACAAGAUGCAACAAUUUAAGUUUUUCUGUCAAUGAUGUAUGCGCUCAAUGGGAUUUGAUCGGAACGACGCCAAAUCCAAGCUGGCUUCCCUUGACAAUUUUUUGGGGUGUGCCAGGACCAUUCACAUUUGAGCUUGCUUAGUUUAGCUCAACAAUGAUUGGCACAUUUUUUAUACUUUUUUUUAAUCAAGGGAGGCCAGAUGCUCGCUGGCUUCCCUUGCCUUCAACGCUACAGCCGGCAACAAUGUCAUACUGGUUUGGACCAGACAGCACCAGAUAGAUGGCCUACACGUAGAGACAGAGGGGCGCUGUUUCACUCGCUCAGAUCCUAUGAGAUACAUCAAAUCAAAUUGUAUUUGUCACAUGCGCCGAAUACAACAGGUGUAGGCCUUAAAGUGAAAUGCUUACUUACAAGCCCUUAACCAACAAUGCAGUUCAAGAAAGAGUUAAGAAAAUAUUUACUAAAUAAACUAAAGUAAAAAAUUAAAUCAAAAGUAACACAACAAAAUAUCAAUAACCAGGCUAUAUACAGGUUAAUGUAUACAUUAAGUCUCUUGCGAAUUAAAGGAAAAGUAUCUAUUCUAGGUAUUCUAUUGUUUACAAAAAUUAUUACAACGUCUGAUUGUUGUGGCUACUAAUCUUAGAUGUCAAAUUAGCCACUUGAUGCUUGAAUGAAUGUUGACUGCAUUGUACACACUUGGCAAACAGUCUUGGAGAGGAGGGCAGGGUUACCUGGUGUAUACUACAGGUGAGUCUUGGAGAGGAGGGCAGGGUUACCUGGUGUAUACUACAGGUGAGUCUUGGAGAGGUGGGGUAGGAUUACCUGGUAUAUACUACAGGUGAGUCUUGGAGAGGAGGGUAGGAUUACCUGGAAUAUACUACAAGUGAGUCUUGGAGAGGAGGGCAGGGUUACUUGGUAUAUACUACAAGUGAGUCUUGGAGAGGAGGGCAGGGUUACCUGGUAUAUACUACAGGUGAGUCUUGGAGAGGAGGGCAGGGUUACCUGGUAUAUACUACAGGUGUGUCUUGGAGAGGAGUGUAGGAUUACCUGGUAUAUACUACAGGUGAGUCUUGGAGAGGUGGGGUAGGAUUACCUGGUGUAUACUACAGGUGAGUCUUGGAGAGGAGGGCAGGGUUACCUGGUAUAUACUACAGGUGAGUCUUGGAGAGGAGGGCAGGGUUACCUGGUAUAUACAAGUGAGUCUUGGAGAGGAGGGUAG